Molecule: transfer RNA, 65 nt
Filed under: Anthaxia sp. ANT01
Lineage: Eukaryota; Metazoa; Arthropoda; Insecta; Coleoptera; Buprestidae
Description: tRNA-Glu
Source: RNAcentral
AUUUAUAUAGUUUAUUAAAAACAUUAUAUUUUCAAUAUAAAAAUAGAACUAUUAUCUUAUAAAUA